AUACGGAGGAUGCGAGCGUUAUCCGGAUUUAUUGGGUUUAAAGGGUGCGUAGGCUGUGCGUUAAGUCAGGGGUGAAAUGCCGUCGCUCAACGACGGAGCUGCCCUUGAUACUGGCGUGCUGGAGUACGGAUGCCGUUGGAGGAAUGAGUGGUGUAGCGGUGCAAUGCUUAGAUAUCACUCAGAACACCGAUUGCGAAGGCAUCUGACGAAUCCGUCACUGACGCUGAGGCACGAAAGCGUGGGGAUAGAACAGGAUUAGAUACCCUGGUAUUCCACGCCGUAAACGAUGAUGACUAACCGUCGGCGAUAGACAGCCGGUGGCCAAGCGAAAGCGAUAAGUCAUCCACCUGGGGAGUACGUCGGCAACGAUGAAACUCAAAGGAAUUGACGGGG
RNAcentral lists this ribosomal RNA (393 nucleotides) under uncultured bacterium. RNAcentral's name for it is "partial 16S ribosomal RNA". It matches the Rfam family "Bacterial small subunit ribosomal RNA", at positions 523 to 918 of the family's 1533-position model. The record is from RNAcentral.